GGAGAGAUGGUUGAGUGAUUGAUAGCUCCGGUCUUGAAAACCAGUAUAGUUCCGAACAAAGAACUAUCGAGGGUUCAAAUCCCUCUCACUCCU
This 93-nucleotide transfer RNA is filed under the name Amborella trichopoda. It matches the Rfam family "tRNA". Rfam says of the family: Transfer RNA (tRNA) molecules are approximately 80 nucleotides in length. Lineage: Eukaryota; Viridiplantae; Streptophyta; Magnoliopsida; Amborellales; Amborellaceae. The record is from Rfam by way of RNAcentral.